AGAUUGAACGCUGGCGGCAUGCCUAACACAUGCAAGUCGAACGGGAGUAGCAAUACUCUAGUGGCGGACGGGUGAGGAAUACGUAGGAAUUUGCCCUUAAGUGGGGGAUAACCCGGGGAACCCGGAUUAAUACCGCAUGACCUCGAAAGAGCAAAGUGGGGGAUCGCAAGACCUCACGCUUUUGGAGAAGCCUACGUCGGAUUAGCUAGUUGGUGAGGUAAUGGCUCACCAAGGCGACGAUCCGUAACUGGUCUGAGAGGAUGAUCAGUCACACCGGAACUG
This 282-nucleotide ribosomal RNA is filed under the name uncultured soil bacterium. RNAcentral describes it as "partial 16S ribosomal RNA". It matches the Rfam family "Bacterial small subunit ribosomal RNA", at positions 26 to 321 of the family's 1533-position model. The record is from RNAcentral.